Non-coding RNA from Callithrix jacchus (white-tufted-ear marmoset), 7090 nucleotides. NCBI's taxonomy places the organism in Eukaryota, Metazoa, Chordata, Mammalia, Primates, Cebidae. The record is from RefSeq and is a predicted model, not a curated record.
CGGAGACUGCGGGUGGCGGCCCCUGGCGACCGGAGGUGGCGCUGCAGCCCAAGGGCCGGGGGCGGAGUCGGGGCUGGGGGCGGAGCCCGGGCGGGGCCGGCGCUCAGUAUCUUGGGUUUCUUCCUCCCACUCGCCUCAGUCUGUCUAGUCUCUGUGUCUCUUCCUCCCUUCCCUUUCCCUCCCUUCCUUCUUUCUCCUCCCUCCCUCUCUUUCUUUCCCUUUCCCUUCCUUCCUCCCUCCUUCCUUCCCUCCUUACUACCUUCAAGCCUUCCUUCUCUUUUCUUCCUCCCUCGUCUCCCUUCCUUCUCCUCUCCCUAUCUCCUUCCCUCUUUUUUCUCUUCUUUUUUUAAUCUUCCUCCUUCUCCUACUCUUCCUUUCUUUCCACUUUCCCUUGCUUCUGUUUCUUCUCUUUUACAAUACUGACCGAACCCCAUACUGGGUGCCAAACCCAGCACACUGGUGACUGCAGAUUCUAAUCUUAAAAAAAUCUUAUGAGAUGAUAGGUGAAGGUUUCCAGAUGUCUUCACUCUCCUUACUUCUAGCUGUAUGGUGCUUUGUCUGUUUUCAGAUAAGCUCAUAAUUACAGCCUCCUCUCAAGAAAGAGUCUAUCUCAGUCAUUUAUACUUUAAUAAGAAUUUGGACCCAUGAAUCACCUCUCCCAGGAGGAUUUGUAGCUUUAUCUUGAACUUCAAUGGUGAAAUGAUAGGCUUAUAGUUUAGGACCCUAUUGUUGGCAGGUGAUAGAAACCCAAUUUGAAUUAUUUAAAGCAUGUAAAAAGGAAUUUGUUGGUUCACAUGUCUAGAAAGGGCAAGAAUAAAGCUUUCCUGAAGGAAGACAGGACUCAAGGAUGUAAUGCUGUUGGCUGGCAUGCUGCUGGCUCUCUCUCGCUUCUCUGUAUAUUGGUCUCCAUCUUCCCCCUUCUUUCCUAUAUGGCUAUAAAUGUGACCACCAUCUGCUUCCAAGGCCUCUGCUGUAUAGUGUCCUGACCAACUGGGAGAAAGAUCUCUUCCUGUGACCUUCACCUGGAAAACAAUCCCAGGGAAUGACUCUGAUUGGAUUGGCUUGUGUUACAUGUUUUAUGGGACAGGGGAUGGGAGAUUGAUUGAGCCUGGAUACCAAAUCUACCCUCCGACCCCUGUGGCCAAGAGAAGUGGAACCUGUGAUUGGCAGCCCCUGCCAGACUUCUAUGGUUAGCGAGGGAAGAUGAGGUUCUUCUAAUGAAGAGAGUUGCUUUUUCAUGAAAGCUAAAAGUGUGUGUCUAUUAUUUCCCUGUAGCAAGCCUCUCUGGUGUCCAUGAGGUAGACAUCAGGGUGUGGGAAGAAGGGUUGUGUUGGGGAAGAGACCCUCUGCUGCUCUGAAAUCAAGCCACCAAGGCCCCCUAAGCAUAGGGCAAAGCUUGCUUUCAGCUUUUUGGCCAUUGUCUAUAACUUAUUUUGCUUUGAGAAGAACCACUAUGCCAACUCCCACUGUGGGUCUGGCCUCUGUUGUGGUAUUGCCUUGCUCCAGGCUCAACCUGUGGGUUGAGCUCAUCACCCUGGGGACCUCCUUGGUACUUACAGCAGCUGGCACAAUGACUGCUACUCUCCAAGUGCCCUUCAGAGGAAAAAAAGGUCUGGCGAACUCUUUCACACUAUCAAGUUAUUAAUUUCCUUUUUCUUUCAAGAGUGAUUCUACAUAGGUCACAAAGUGGUCACAGCAAUGCAAAGUGAGUAAGAGUACAAAGCAGAAAACACCUCCCAGAAAAAGUUCCUGGAAGGUGGAAGCCCAAACUCAUCUACUUUAAAAUUCCCAGCACUAAUGCCAUGCUUGGCACCUUGAAGGCACCAGAAAAUGCUAAUUGAGCUGCACAGUCCUGGGUCGGGCAGGCUCCCCCAGAGAUUUCUGCCUGCUGGCAUUCACAUCCUCCCAGUGAGUGUGAAGUGGCCUGGAGACUGGCUUCAGAGGAAUAGAAUAUGGCAAAGAUGAUGGACAUCACUCGUGUGAUGAGGAUACGUAAGACUUCGGUCUUGCUUGCUGACUGUCUUUGUUGCCUUCUUGGCUUGUAUGUUUUGAUGAAGCAAACUCUCAUGCUGGAGAAGCCCAUGUGGCAAAGAGCUAAGGCUGGCCCCUAGUCAACAUCUGGCUAUAACUGAGGCUUUCAGUCCAACAGGCCUUGAAGGAUUGAAUCCUGCCAGCAACCCUCUGAGCUUCCAAGUGGAUCCUUCCUCAGUGGAGCAUUCAGAUGAGACCUCAGCCCUAGCUGACAUCCUGAUCACAGCCCUAUGAGGGACCCAGAAGCAGAGGACCUAGUUAAGCUGUGCCUGGACUUCUCCACCACAGAAACUGGGAGCGCCCUCCCGGGGUCUCCAUUGCCAGCGUGUCAAGAUCAGAUAGCAAUUGGGAAGCCCAACAGCUCUGGAGUGAGUGAGACAGAGCUGACUUGAGUCCUGAGGUCAUGCUUACCAGCUCUGCGACCUUGGCAUGUCCUUAAGGGCUGUCCCCUCUGAACCAUGGAACCAGAGUGAGGUCAUUGGGUGUGCUGCUGAAACAGGGUGGUUAUAAGGAUGAAAGAAGAUAAUGCAGUCAGAGCACCGAGAGUAAUGCCCUGGUAGAUGACACAAGGUGACUGGAGGCCUCCGGGAGAGUCUGUGGAGAAGGCACCGAGAAAGGCCGGCCACUGGGGGGUGUGGCGUGCCCAGGAAAUCUCUGCCCAGCUCAGCUUGGAGGUGGACCCUCUACAGCCCCGCGUCUCUGCCGAGGAGUUGUUGCCCAUGGUGCCUGCAGGCUUUGGUGCUCCAGUGGAGAGGGCACGCUGGGACACAGCCAAUGUCCUGGCCACCAGACCCUGAGGUAGGCUGUGACCUCUGUUGGUCAGGUGGAAUGAGGGCUGGGUGAAACAGUGGCCUUGGUUUUGGGACACCCUCUAGGGACCCUUUACAGUGAUCCCCUAGAGCCAACAAAUGAAAAAGCGCUGCUGGAUGCUGACCUAUGAUCUGGACAGACUCAAAGCUUUGAACAUCAGGGCUUCUGAGCCCCUUGCCUCUGCUUGGCCAUGCUCCUCAAAGCCCCCUUAUGCUGCGCUGAGGCAGGAUGGGGAACUCCCAAGACAGAGAGUCCUUGGGCUACUCACUUCUUCUCCUGCCUUCCUUUGUCUGAACCUCAGUUUUCUCCUCUGAGGAAUGGGCAGAACCAGCUCUGGGCAGCCUGUGUGGUUGGCAUGAGGGUUAGCAAAAGCAGGGAGUGAGACACUCCUGGCACAGCGCAGGCCUUCUCAAGUGUAAAGGGGCAGAUGGCGGGAGGGAAAGAGUUGGUUCUACUGGUUACUCCACGGGGAUUCCUGCCCUCUGUCCCGGUGGCGGGGGAGGUGGCAUUCACUGAGCGCAGGCCCCCAGCAGCUGCAACAGGUGCCCCUUUUGGCAGUAAAAGCAGGCCUGGGCCUUCCUGAUGCCAGCCUGUGAGCGCUGCUGGGAGAGGCCCCGAGAGGCUGAGGCUGGUUCAGCAGGCAGCUCUGCGGGGAGGCAGUGGCCUGGGUGGAUUCACUGUGACAGGCUGUUGACAGUGCAGCUUCCAGGGUUGCUCACGGUCACUGGUGGAGCAGCUCCAGCUGCUGCCUCUGAGUGAGGAGAAGAGGUGGUGGACGGCCGCCAUCCAGGCGGGCAUGCCACACAGCCUCUGCCCACACGGUCUCAGAGCUGCUUGCUGGAGGGCAGAGAGCCCAAGCCAUGGCACUCAUGGCUGCCAACCUCCAAAGCCAUUUAGACUCAGAGCCCUCCAUCAAAUAAGAAAGAGGCCACACCGGGACCUUCCUUCCUUCCUUCUUUCAGUUUGUAGUUUUGUGUACCUACUACGUGCUAGGGGGUGCUAGGAACACGGUGGGAGUGAAAUAGACAUGGCCCUGCCCUUAUGGAGUGUACAGUGAAAUGCAUGUUAGACAGAUAACACAGACAAGUAUUAAGCACGCCCAUGCCAACUGUUAGGAAGGAAAAUGGCAGAGUGCUGACUGGAUAGUGCUCUGGGGGCUCAGCCAGGCAUGACCUGGAGGAUACAUCUUGGUUGGGUGCCCUGCAAGUGGAACCUGAGGUGGGGAUCUCUUGGGGUGGCAAUUGGAAAGGACCUGCAAGGCAGGGAGAGAAGCAGGAUGGGGCGGCAGGGAGAAGCAGAGAAGGAGGUGGUCUCGGCUUGCGCCCCAUCCCACAGUGGUGGCAGGGCAAGGGGGGAUGGGGAAUUUCAACUGUCCGAGGAACAGUUCCACCUCUCGGGGAGGUGACCGGCCUUUUGUCACCCAUCUUGGGCAGUGAGAUCUGCCUGACUGUCACCUGUUGCAGAGGUGACUCUAGUUUGUCCCAAGGCAAUUCUCUGAGGGGGUGUGUGGCUGCCUUCCCUGAAUGGACAACACUCCCAGCUGCUGGUGUUGCCCCUCCAGUGGGAUACCCCUUCAGGAGAGGUGAGCCAAGGGGCAUCAGCUGCACCCACUAAACUGCCAGACAGGUCAGAAUGCACAAGGGCAAGGGAAAGUUGGCUGCAGAGAGGGAGAAGACCAGGUUUGGAGCAAGAGAGAUAGUGGGGACUGUGUCUGGAAGAAAGGCUGGGCUUGGCAGAGCCUUUCAAGGCAUGGCAGAGAUGCUUGAUUUUAUUUGGGAUGCCCGUGAAGGCAGUGGAAGUGCCUUCCACUUCCAAGUGCCUUCCUGGCACAUGGCCAGAUUGGCAAUUUAAGAAGAGCACUUUGGCUUCUGAAUGGAGGAAGAAUUGGAGUGGGUUUGGGAGACCAGGCAGAGAGACCAGCUUAGAAGCAAUGUGGUCUUCAAAGGGGAGAUGGGGGUGGCUUGGCCUAGCAUGGGGGAUGUGGGGGUGGUGAAUGGGAUAAUUUGAGUUAUUUAGGAGGAAGAACUUAGUAGGAGUUAGGGAUGCCCAUGAAAAACCCAAGAGGAGAAGCCAAGUAGGAAGGUGAAUGCAUAUGUCUGGAGCUUGGCAUGGAGGUAAGAUCUGAAAAUAGAUUUUGGGCAUAGAGAUGUCUUUGGAAACUUAGGAGUGAAUGAAAGCACCCAGGAGGAGAUAGUAGAGUGAUCAGAGAAGCGGAGCCUUGAAGAUCUUCAGUAAAUAUCUAACAGAUGAAUAAAGGAUGAGGAAGCAGCAGAGGUGUCUGAGGAGUGGAGGGAGGCAGGAGGAGGAGCAGGAUCGCCCCUGCAAAUAGCCACUGUACUCCAGCCUAGGUAACAUAGCAAGACCCCAUCUCUAAAAUAAAUGAAUAAAUAAAGUAAACAAAAAAGUCCCUCAGAUCUUUUUCAUCUUUCUGUGUGAUUGUGAGUUAAAAAAAGAAAGAAAGAAAGAAAAAGGACUUAUUAGCUUGUCUGGCUUUGUCAAAGGUCUUCUUUUGAUGUCUAGUUGUUCUAACUUCAGAAAUGUUCCCUUUCUCUUGUUCAAGAAAAUUAAGUCGAAGUAUAAGCUAAUGUUCCAGAAUAGUACUUCUCAAAUUUUAAUACACAUAUAUGAAUCACCCAGGGAUCUUGCUUAAAAUGUGAAUUCCAAUUUUACAAUCCUGAGGUGGUACCCGAGACUCUGCAUCCCUACCAAGCUCCCAGGCCCUGCCAAUGCAGCCGUCCCCAGGCCACACUUUGAGUAGCCAGGCUCAAUAAAGGGGUAUCAUGAAUACAUCCCCUGAAGCAGGGAGAAGAGAAUCACCACCAAACUCUAAUUAAAAAAAAAAACACUGGAAAAUAUCUGGAAUGACAUAAGUGCUGAGAUGAUGAACAUUUGAAAUAUCUUCCUCACACCUAUCUGUAGUUUCAAAUUUGUCUAUAAUGAACAUGAAUUACUUAGGCAAUAAAUAGGUUUAAAAUUAAAUAACCGAAUUUAAAAAACCUAAAGUAUACACAUAUUUUUAAAACAAAGUCUUUAUCAGAUGCUGAAAGAGAAUCAGAAGCACUUCCCUAGAACCAACAGCUUGAAAGGAGCCAGUUGAGUCCUCUUUCUCUGUCUUUUUAUCUUUUCGUUUGUUUUUGAAGCAGGAUCUCACUGUGUUGCCCAGGCUGGAGUGCGAUGGUACGAUCAUAGCUCACUGCAGCCUUGACCUCUUGGGCUCAAGUGAUCCUCUUGCGUCAGCUUCCUGAGUAGCUGGGACCACAGGCAUGCGCCACUACACCAGGCUAAUUUUUAAUUUUUUGUAGAAAUGAGGUCCUGCUAUGUUGUGCAGGCCGGUCUCCAGCAAUCCUCCCACCUUAGCCUCCCAAAGUGCUGGGAUCACAGGCAUGAGUCAGUGCAUCUGACUGAGUCCUCUUUCUGCAGCCCAGUUUAGAUGGAGAUAUGGGAGAGACACGUCCAGGCUUCACAGCCAGUUUUUGGCAGAGCCGGGACUAUGAAAUUAGAGAUCUGGGUGACACAGCACAAGCCAACAGCCACAGUCUGAUAAGAGUUUAUCAAACACACAGUGACUUUCUAUGACGGGAAUUUGAUACUGGGCCCUGCUGGCAGGGCAGUGCUCCAAGGAAUCGCAAUGGACAGGGAGCCUGGGCCUGCAGGAUCAUUUUUGAGCUGCUGAUGGCCUGUCCCCAGCCUGGGGCUCCUGGAAAAUCCCCAGCUUUCUCCAAGGAGACCAUUUCAUCUGGUUUAUCCCAUUUUACAGGGGGAAGUACACACCCCACAGCCUGGCAUUCAAGGCCUCAGUGUUCCCCUCUGAACCUCUGUCUCAUCGCACCUCCCACUCUCCAGCAUCACCUUGGUAGUCUUGCAUGCACAAGUCUAUUUGUCUGAUCUGCCCUUCCCUGGCCCUUCCAGGGCUUAGAGUUCCCCUGCAGCCUGGCCCAGCUCUCCAGUGCAGAGGCACACCCUCAGCCUGCUGCCGCCCUCACCUGGCUCUGCUGGGUAUCCCGCACAUUUUAGUGUUCUUUAGCACUGUAGGGUGACUAUACAAUAAUAAUUUAUUAUAUAUUUCAAAUAGCUAGAAAAGAGGAUUUUGAAUGUUUCCAACACAAAGAAAUAAUGUGUGAGGUGAUGGAUACAGUAAUUACUCUGAUAAGAUCAUUUACAUUGUAUAUAUGUAUCAAUGUCACUCUAUACCUCAUAAAUAUGUAUAAUUAUGUAUCAAUUAUGAAUAAUUUUUUAAAAGUUAUUAAAA